RNAcentral lists this ribosomal RNA (253 nucleotides) under uncultured bacterium. RNAcentral describes it as "partial 16S ribosomal RNA". It matches the Rfam family "Bacterial small subunit ribosomal RNA", at positions 524 to 776 of the family's 1533-position model. The record is from RNAcentral.
CACGUAGGGCGCAAGCGUUGUCCGGAAUUAUUGGGCGUAAAGAGCGCGUAGGCGGUCCGAUAAGUCGGCUGUGAAAGUCAGGGGCUCAACCCUUGAAAGCCGGCCGAUACUGUCGGACUAGAGUCCGGAAGAGGCGAGUGGAAUUCCUGGUGUAGCGGUGAAAUGCGCAGAUAUCAGGAGGAACACCGGUGGCGAAGGCGGAUCUCUGGGCCAUUACUGACGCUGAGGAGCGAAAGCGUGGGGAGCGAACAGG